RNAcentral lists this ribosomal RNA (328 nucleotides) under Vibrio sp. I7E3. RNAcentral describes it as "bacterial SSU rRNA". It matches the Rfam family "Bacterial small subunit ribosomal RNA", at positions 105 to 436 of the family's 1533-position model. Lineage: Bacteria; Pseudomonadati; Pseudomonadota; Gammaproteobacteria; Vibrionales; Vibrionaceae. The record is from RNAcentral.
GGUGAGUAAUGCCUAGGAAAUUGCCCUGAUGUGGGGGAUAACCAUUGGAAACGAUGGCUAAUACCGCAUGAUGCCUACGGGCCAAAGAGGGGGACCUUCGGGCCUCUCGCGUCAGGAUAUGCCUAGGUGGGAUUAGCUAGUUGGUGAGGUAAUGGCUCACCAAGGCGACGAUCCCUAGCUGGUCUGAGAGGAUGAUCAGCCACACUGGAACUGAGACACGGUCCAGACUCCUACGGGAGGCAGCAGUGGGGAAUAUUGCACAAUGGGCGCAAGCCUGAUGCAGCCAUGCCGCGUGURUGAAGAAGGCCUUCGGGUUGUAAAGYACUUU